AAAAGACAUUCAGAAAAAAACCCUGCAUGCACAUUUGGGCUACACAGAAACCACUCCCGACAGUGAAUUAAGGGCAUCUCGGCAAAGGCAGCUAAUUCAUGGGUCUUAAAUCAAUCAGGGAGUGAAAAUACAGUUUUGGUAAAAGCUGAGGCUUUCUUUUCUGCAGGUUACGAUUUCAGUGAUCCAGAGGGAAAGCUAAAGCUCGUGGGUGCACAGAAAAAUGUCUGAAGGCGUGGGACAGAGAACCGGCUCCCAUUGAGUCUGUUCAGAGCCAAAUCCUUGUGACGAGCCGUGCGCUGCCCGCUACACCUUACUACGGAUGUUAUCUUACAAGACAGGGCCAGUCUCCUCUCCAUUCCCUCCCGGGAUUGUUUCCGCUUUCCUUAGCAUCCUCCAGCGACCAGCGCCCACAGCCUCUCAGGAAAGCUCCAGACACAAAAGCAAAGCGAGCGCCUCUACCAAGUAAAAAGCUCAGGAGCAUCUAACAACACGUCCAUAGAAUUCAGCUCGUUAAAAACCCAUUCCUGUUGCCAGCUUCUGCUGCUUCCUUCCAUUCCCUGGAACAAGAAGAGAGAGCAGUUCAGCCACUGACCUGAAUGUUAAACACUAGCAAACUAAACCAGGAGUGCAGCCACGAGUAUACACAUCUCUGAUGGUGAUUGCUCCCAGGGAUGCAUGUGACAGCACUGCCAGGCAGCCAGACUGGCCUGUCUAACCUGUUCUCACCAUGUGCAUCAUCUCAUGGUGAUGGGAGAGUGACUUGGGCAGUGUCCUCCAUGGUGAACCACAUCACCUCGUGAGCUUGAACCCCCUGGCAGAAUAUAGGGAGACAGUGUUCCAGAUGAGGUAAGAAAGAACAUUUUGGCUACAUGGAUUGCAAAACAGACCAUGCUCUGCCUCUGCAAAUUUUUGCAGAUGUGUUGAGUUGUCACUUUGUUGACUGUUGUGACCUUGAUAUUCCAUCCUGAGUGUCUGUACGCUGCCUUACUGGCACGCUAACCCUGGCUGGGUGCUCUGCAAGCAAUUCUCCUCAGAACCACAGCAACAACAACAGUGAUAUAGUAACAUAAAUAGGCUCUUGUGAGUGCACAUUUUUACUUUGAUUUAAUAACAGCAAUGUCUGACAGUAGAAACAACUGAUUUCAGAGUAAAAACGUCAGAAGAAGUUAACCAAUGGAGACCUGUUCAUAUGUGUGCUUCCAUCACUCCAGAGCCAUGCUGGAGCCUGAACGUACAGGCAGCAACACUGGGUCUCUGAAGAGAAAAUCUUUGUGUUGUGACUUAGAGAUCUUUUACAACCUAAAUGAUUCUGUGAUUCUGUGGUUCCUUCCUACUGAUCCUGACCUGUGAUGUGUAACUAUGAGGGAGAAAGUCAAUUUGCCUACUCUCCUGAUCAGGAACAGCUGUAAUUCUCACACCAACCUAAUCCACUAAAUGUCUCUGCCCUGAAACUCAGCAGAGUAACUUAGGCAAUCAGACUCCAGGGUGAUAAAGUUGAAAAAACAAACAAACAAACAAAAAACAAACA
Molecule: long non-coding RNA, 1528 nt
Organism: Corapipo altera (White-ruffed manakin)
Lineage: Eukaryota; Metazoa; Chordata; Aves; Passeriformes; Pipridae
Exons: 2
Source: RefSeq, a predicted model, not a curated record